GCGAAUGUAGCUCAAUUGGUAGAGUAUUGCCUUGCCAAGGCAGGGGUUAAGGGUUCGAGUCCCUUUAUUCGC
This 72-nucleotide transfer RNA is filed under the name Chromochloris zofingiensis. Its description in RNAcentral is "tRNA-Gly". It matches the Rfam family "tRNA". Rfam says of the family: Transfer RNA (tRNA) molecules are approximately 80 nucleotides in length. Their secondary structure includes four short double-helical elements and three loops (D, anti-codon, and T loops). Lineage: Eukaryota; Viridiplantae; Chlorophyta; Chlorophyceae; Sphaeropleales; Chromochloridaceae. The record is from RNAcentral.